RNAcentral lists this transfer RNA (72 nucleotides) under Capra hircus (goat). It matches the Rfam family "tRNA". From Rfam's summary of the family: Transfer RNA (tRNA) molecules are approximately 80 nucleotides in length. Their secondary structure includes four short double-helical elements and three loops (D, anti-codon, and T loops). Lineage: Eukaryota; Metazoa; Chordata; Mammalia; Artiodactyla; Bovidae. The record is from Rfam by way of RNAcentral. RNAcentral also lists the same sequence under 1 other name.
UCCCUGGUGGUUCAGAUGGUAAAGAGUCUGCCUGCGAUGCAGAAGACCCAGGUUCGAUCCCUGGGUAGGGAA